GAGAGAGUUGUCCGCUGAUAAAAUCAGACGAGAUCGCGUCCUCGAUUCUCGCGAUCCACGAUCCACGAUCCACGAUUUCGUCCGAGCGACGUACUCUACGUGCAGCACAUUCAUGCCUGCAUACCGGCGUCGGCAGGGAAUAAUUAAGACUGAUCAUUCCGGCUUAAACUGCGCGUCCCUAACAACGAGAUGUGACGAGGCAUCCCGUACGUUAAGAGAACAAAGGUCAUCAGUUCUACAAGCUACGUUGCCCGGCUAAGACUUUGUAGAAGAAUUCAUCGUCAGAACUAGCGUUGGGUAAUUUGGAUGUGAUGUGGAUAUCACGGUGCAGGGAUCAUCGCCUUGUGCUCAUAUUUUUACUUUCGGAACAAAUGUAUGAGAGGCAAAAUGGGAGAUACAAUGGAUUCAAGUAUGUGGACGUGACGCAAUUCCAGACUAAAUUUGUCGAAAUAAUUAACAAGUUCACAGCUUCCUGCUUCGGCUGCGGAACUUCAAGUCCAACGAGCAAUUCGUACUCGAAGAAACGAGCCCACUCCUGCUCAUGACACAGAAUUCUAUACCAGGUGCACUAAUGGACUCACAACUCCAAGUUUAGUACAAGACCAACGGGCCAACGACCCAGCUCGCGUUAGCUUGGCUAUGGCGCAACCCAUGAUCUUUCCUUCGACCGAGACGUGCAUCGCCUGUCGUCAACAGGCAUCAACCGACAGCAACGGUAAUGACAGCGAGAACACGGAGAAGAGCAACUGAUCCUCUUGACCAGUCCCCCUGCAAGCUACGUU
This is a long non-coding RNA of Neodiprion fabricii, 782 nucleotides long. RefSeq lists it as uncharacterized. The transcript has 3 exons. The record is from RefSeq and is a predicted model, not a curated record. NCBI's taxonomy places the organism in Eukaryota, Metazoa, Arthropoda, Insecta, Hymenoptera, Diprionidae.